This 253-nucleotide ribosomal RNA is filed under the name uncultured bacterium. RNAcentral's name for it is "partial 16S ribosomal RNA". It matches the Rfam family "Bacterial small subunit ribosomal RNA", at positions 524 to 776 of the family's 1533-position model. The record is from RNAcentral.
GACAGAGGGGGCAAGCGUUGCUCGGAAUUACUGGGCGUAAAGAGCUCGUAGGCGGUUUGUCGCGUCGACUGUGAAAACCCGAGGCUUAACCUCGGGCCUGCAGUCGAUACGGGCAGACUAGAGUUCGGUAGGGGAGACUGGAAUUCCUGGUGUAGCGGUGAAAUGCGCAGAUAUCAGGAGGAACACCGGUGGCGAAGGCGGGUCUCUGGGCCGAUACUGACGCUGAGGAGCGAAAGCGUGGGGAGCGAACAGG